GAGGCUUACAUCCUUGUGAUUCCUCAUGACUCGGAAGGAGGAGCGCGGGCCGUAGAGACGGAAGAGGAGGUUGAGACAACCAUGGCGCCUGCUGCAAUGACCACGGCCACUACAUGAAAAGAAAGACAACAAAAUCUAUUAGGCCUACUCAUGCUGGAUUGGGCUCAGCCCGAUUACAAAACAAUAGCAAAUGAGAGGAAUACAAGAAGUCAAGAAGACCCUUCUCUCCAUGUCUUAAGUUCCACACUACCUCGCCUGGAUCCGGAACUGCGGCUACAGUGACCUCGACAUAGUCUAGGUAGACACCCAGUGGUUAAGACUGUGUAGUGAGCCAUGCCUUUGUGAGAGGACCAAGAAAAGAAAGGCAUGUUGUACCUACCCUACAUUGACAGUCAUUAUUAGCCCAUUG
This is a long non-coding RNA of Triticum dicoccoides, 409 nucleotides long. RefSeq lists it as uncharacterized. The record is from RefSeq and is a predicted model, not a curated record. NCBI's taxonomy places the organism in Eukaryota, Viridiplantae, Streptophyta, Magnoliopsida, Poales, Poaceae. The transcript has 3 exons.